AGCUUUGCACAGUGGCAGUAUCGUAGCCAAUGAGGUUUAUCCGAGGCACGAUUAUUGCUAAUUGAACCCAAGAACUAUGAAAUCAUGACCUGAGCUGAAGUCGGACGCUUAACCCACUGAGACACCCAGGUGCCCCUCAUCUGCACUUUUUAAAAUUACAUCUUCGGG
Molecule: small nuclear RNA, 168 nt
Filed under: Suricata suricatta (meerkat)
Lineage: Eukaryota; Metazoa; Chordata; Mammalia; Carnivora; Herpestidae
Description: U4 spliceosomal RNA (ENSSSUG00005017498.1)
Rfam family: U4 spliceosomal RNA (bases 1-67)
Source: RNAcentral